This 89-nucleotide transfer RNA is filed under the name Eubacteriales bacterium. RNAcentral describes it as "tRNA-Ser". It matches the Rfam family "tRNA". Rfam says of the family: Transfer RNA (tRNA) molecules are approximately 80 nucleotides in length. Their secondary structure includes four short double-helical elements and three loops (D, anti-codon, and T loops). Lineage: Bacteria; Bacillati; Bacillota; Clostridia; Eubacteriales. The record is from RNAcentral.
GGAGAGUUGGCCGAGCUGGCUGAAGGCGCACGAUUGGAAAUCGUGUUUGCGUCACAAGCGCAACGAGGGUUCGAAUCCCUUGCUCUCCG